UACGAAGGGUGCAAGCGUUACUCGGAAUUACUGGGCGUAAAGCGUGCGUAGGUGGUUCGUUAAGUCUGUCGUGAAAGCCCCGGGCUCAACCUGGGAAUGGCGAUGGAUACUGGCGAGCUAGAGUGCGGUAGAGGGUGGUGGAAUUCCCGGUGUAGCAGUGAAAUGCGUAGAGAUCGGGAGGAACAUCAGUUGCGAAGGCGGCCACCUGGACCAGCACUGACACUGAGGCACGAAAGCGUGGGGAGCAAACAGG
This 253-nucleotide ribosomal RNA is filed under the name uncultured bacterium. Its description in RNAcentral is "partial 16S ribosomal RNA". It matches the Rfam family "Bacterial small subunit ribosomal RNA", at positions 524 to 776 of the family's 1533-position model. The record is from RNAcentral.